CCCUGCCACCGGCCGAGCUCCACGGACAUCCGCACGGCAGGAGCGGGGGACCCACUUCGGGCGUCGGUGACGACGUCCUUGGGGUGAAGCCGGACGGCCCGUUCUCGGGCACGGACGGCCGGGUGUUUCUCCCACCCGAACCCGACAGCUGACCUCGCAGGCGACAGGAGAGGUAGA
This 177-nucleotide small RNA is filed under the name Krasilnikoviella flava. Its description in RNAcentral is "Promicromonospora flava c-di-AMP sequence". It matches the Rfam family "c-di-AMP riboswitch aptamer (ydaO/yuaA leader)". From Rfam's summary of the family: This family represents a conserved RNA structure found upstream of the ydaO and yuaA genes in Bacillus subtilis and related genes in other bacteria. The ydaO/yuaA element is thought to act as a genetic "off" switch for the ydaO and yuaA genes in its native state. It is believed that the element may be triggered during osmotic shock leading to activation of ydaO, a predicted amino acid transporter gene, and members of the yuaA-yubG operon which code for KtrA and KtrB K+ transporters. The record is from Rfam by way of RNAcentral. Lineage: Bacteria; Bacillati; Actinomycetota; Actinomycetes; Micrococcales; Promicromonosporaceae.